This 433-nucleotide ribosomal RNA is filed under the name uncultured bacterium. RNAcentral describes it as "partial 16S ribosomal RNA". It matches the Rfam family "Bacterial small subunit ribosomal RNA", at positions 29 to 507 of the family's 1533-position model. The record is from RNAcentral.
AACGAACGCUGGCGGCAUGCCUAACACAUGCAAGUCGAACGAGACCUUCGGGUCUAGUGGCGCACGGGUGCGUAACGCGUGGGAACCUGCCCUUAGGUUCGGAAUAACUCCCCGAAAGGGGUGCUAAUACCGGAUAAUGUCUUCGGACCAAAGAUUUAUCGCCUUUGGAUGGGCCCGCGUUGGAUUAGCUAGUUGGUAGGGUAAAAGCCUACCAAGGCGACGAUCCAUAGCUGGUCUGAGAGGAUGAUCAGCCACACUGGGACUGGGACACGGCCCAGACUCCUACGGGAGGGAGCAGUGGGGAAUAUUGGACAAUGGGCGAAAGACUGAGCCAGCAAUGCCGCGUGAGUGAUGAAGGCCUUAGGGUUGUAAAGCUCUUUUACCCGGGAUGAUAAUGACAGUACCGGGAGAAUAAGCUCCGGCUAACUACGUG